AGCCGGAAGUCCACUUGAAACCAUCUACGAGGAGAAGAGAAAAGAGAAAAAAAAGACAGGGGAAGGAAAAACAGAAGAGACGCUGGUGAUUCAAAAUGCCUUAAAUACAUGGGCAAGAAUGGUAAACUGGAAAGAAACACGGACACUGGAAUUCCUCGCUCUAUUGCGUCCUAGGGACUACUGAUUGCAAACAUGGUGUUACAAAAUAUAUUGACUGAAAAUUACAUCUUUAUCCCGGUACUUCUCCGGACUGCCUUGCCGAGCACGUUGUUGCAGUAUGUAGACCCCCGCCUUCUGAAUCGGUUACGUUACGACCCUCUAGUCCAUCCUAAUUCUGCUGCUGCCAGUCGAAUUGAAUGUCGAACUUUCAAAGGAAGUGGCCUACAACUCCAAUAAGAGCCCAGAAAAUAAAUUAUUUUCAUCCAAAUUUACUUUUUCUCAUGUUGCUUUGAGCAAUGCAGUUGUGUUUAUUUGAUUUGAAUAAACGCGUUUUAAGCAUUAGUAAUGAAAACGAAAUCACCAAGGGUCUGCCCACAAGUCCCAGUAAUCUUGUUGCCAACAUGCUGUCUUGUUUCUGUUUCUUAGAAGACACUUUCAGCAAGCUGCAUUAAAAACCCUGGGCAAAGUUUAAAUCCGUAUGGAAUUGUGAAUUCGACCCGGAAAAAGCAAACUAUACUUAACAGUAAAUACUCUCUGAAAUUACGGAAAUGGUUUGCACUGCUUUCUCACAAUUUACUCAAAGUGGAAAUAAUUUCAUAUUUUAAUUCUAAA
This is a long non-coding RNA of Hemiscyllium ocellatum (epaulette shark), 771 nucleotides long. RefSeq lists it as uncharacterized. Lineage: Eukaryota; Metazoa; Chordata; Chondrichthyes; Orectolobiformes; Hemiscylliidae. The record is from RefSeq and is a predicted model, not a curated record. The transcript has 3 exons.